AUGGCAUCCUCCUCCUCAAUCAUCCAGGUCGUCAGUGAGUCCAUCUUGGACAGCGACGUCAUCCCCUCCUCGCUCAUCGAGAUUGCGCCCUUCCUCCGUGUCGCCAACGAGGUUGAGGCGAUCAACCCACGCGUCGCAUACCUAUGUCGAUUCCAUGGCGGAUUCGAGAAGGCGCAUCGCCUCGACCCGCUCUCCAACGGCCGUGGUGUCCGGCAGUUCAAGAUCGCGCUCCUGCAGAGGCUCGAAAGGGGGAGGGUUGAGCAGAGCGAUGCUGUCGAAAUAAAGAAUUUCUACCAGCAAUACUACAAGAUGUACAUCCAGGCGCUCCAGAAUGCUGCAGAUAAAGCUGAACGUGAUCAGCUCACAAAGGCUUACUAG
Molecule: ribosomal RNA, 378 nt
Filed under: Triticum aestivum (bread wheat)
Lineage: Eukaryota; Viridiplantae; Streptophyta; Magnoliopsida; Poales; Poaceae
Description: partial small subunit ribosomal RNA
Source: RNAcentral